UCUCUGUUAGUAUAUCGGUUAGUACACGCGCCUGUCAUCAGUUCUUGAGGCCGCGCGAAAGCGGGGUUCGACUCCCCGACAGAGAG
Molecule: non-coding RNA, 86 nt
Organism: Cerioporus squamosus
Lineage: Eukaryota; Fungi; Basidiomycota; Agaricomycetes; Polyporales; Polyporaceae
Source: the annotation of a GenBank genome assembly